This is a long non-coding RNA of Alnus glutinosa, 646 nucleotides long. RefSeq lists it as uncharacterized. NCBI's taxonomy places the organism in Eukaryota, Viridiplantae, Streptophyta, Magnoliopsida, Fagales, Betulaceae. The transcript has 3 exons. The record is from RefSeq and is a predicted model, not a curated record.
GUAGAAUGCCUCUUUUCGGUCCAUAGCCAAAAGAGCAGAGGGAAGAAAAAGAAAAAGAAAAAAAAAGUGUAAGGGUUCCUCUUAGUUUUCAAGUAGAAAAAUCUUGAUCUACGUAGAUCCAACGGUCAGAUCUUCAAUCCGUCUUCGAAAACGUGAUCCUUGUACUCGGAUCUACGUUUUACCAAUUGUUUAAUGUAAAACACUAAACUCAUGAUUUUGGGAUUUUUGGGUAAAAUCCUAAAUGUGAGUUUAAUCCUCUAUAUUCUUUAGGUACUUGGGCUUAUUGGAGCUUACUUGAGGCUACCCAAACUUUGGGUUGAAGUUUGGUGAAUUUGGCGGCACUUUGUGGAUUGAGCCUAGGACUUGUAAGUGUUGGUGUGCAAGCAGUCAAUGUACCCCAGACAUCGAUGAUGACCCUGUGCCACACUACUUCGGAUACUGUGACUGAGCCUAUCACGAUGGUUGUAGGUGUCUAACUCGGAUAGUCCACUUUUGUAGAUGUUUUGUAUAUAGCUUGUGCCAUAUGUGACAUGCAUUUUGUACAAACUUUUUUAAUGUAUAUAAUAUUUUGAUUAAGCCUUAGUUAGUUAGACAAUUAAAUGGCUCUGUUGUUGUAAUUAACAUAUAUGAUAGUUUUAUAAGAUUU